Molecule: long non-coding RNA, 3012 nt
Filed under: Haliotis rufescens (red abalone)
Lineage: Eukaryota; Metazoa; Mollusca; Gastropoda; Lepetellida; Haliotidae
Description: uncharacterized LOC125383646, transcript variant X1
Source: RNAcentral
GGGUGUUAAUCUGUUCUUUGGAUUGUACUCCCAGACAAGACCGGUGCCAUUUCCACUGUCCGUGUGGUAAACUCUUCCUGAGAGAGUUCCCUUUCGACUCACGACCACGGUCUGCCGUUUUGUUCGGACAACAAACCAGAAAGUUUCUGAGGAAAGGACUUCUGCAGAGUCCCCUAACGUCCAAAAAGUGAAGAGAGAGCAAGUUCCAAAAGAGACAUGUUUUGUCUGCAAUGUAAUCAUCUCUAAGAAAAACAUUUAAAGACAUGCAGAGACACACAAUGCACGUGUUGAAGUGAAAAACAAGUCAUGCCAACGUGGACUAUGCAUUGAUAAACACCCUGGUCUCUACAUGAUCAGCAAGUCUAGCAUCGGUCUAGAUUACCCACUUCACGUACAAAUGAACGUUUUCACACAGCAAAUACAUUGUGAACAUGUAAAUUGCAACUUAGCUUUGCGUGUUGCAGCAAGGGUAAUGUAGGUAUUUAUCAGUGCCCCCAUUUGCAAUCAGUUAUGUUUGCAAGUGAAUACCCGAAAGAAGUACACCUCCAGUCAGAACAUGAAAAUCUUUGUCAACAGAAGGUAGUACACUCUGCUAACAUGCAGGUUGCCCUGAAGCUUGUAGACACUGGAGAACAAAGACAAAUACCUGUCGUCGUUUAAUGGGAGCAGAAGCACUCUGUAAACAGCGUUUAUUUCUCUGUGUAUGGUGGAACGAAGGAAUACUGGGCUAAACUCGGUCGCGCUGUAGUGACAUUCAACAAGGACAAAGGACAGCUGAAUUGUGUUUGCAGCAAAACCACCAUAUCUUGCGUACACAAGACUCUUGGCAAAUAGUAUCUGGCCCUGGAACACCAAGAGUUGCUGCACAUUAACUCCAUGGGAAACAAUUAUAUUUGUAUUGAGAAUAAAGGGGUAUGUUGGACAUCAUCCUAGCGAGGAACCAACAACAUCGGUCACCAUUGAAAACCAAACCUUACAAGAUUCCGGAGGCAGCUUCUGUAAGACAUACCCACUAUCUGGACAAGGUGCACGUUUGAUGGCAAAUUAUCUAACGCCCGGGAAGAAAUUACCACCAGUUUUUAAAGUUCCGGAAAAUGCCCAAUUAGGACAUGAAGGAAACUUGUCACCUGUCGAAACACAUUGUGUAAUGUGUGCAAAUGGAGGAGAACUUGACCAGUAUCUGGUUGCCAGAAAGGGGAAUAAAAAUAAAGGUCAUGUGUAUACAGCACAAAUGUGUCGAAAAGGCGAAAGUGACAGGAAAAGCCAUACUUGGAAAAAAAGAUAAUUGAAGAAGAUGACCCCUGGCUGUACCGACAUCCAACGACUGGUGCAGAGGAUGUACCUGAAGAGUUCAAGAGACCUGUGCUGUAUUUCCAACGACUGAUGCAGAGGAUGUACCUGAAGAGUUCAAGAGACAUGUGCUGUAUUUCCAACGACUGAUGCAGAGGAUGUACCUGAAGAGUUCAAGAGACAUGUGCUGUAUUUCCAACGACUGAUGCAGAGGAUGUACCUGAAGAGUUCAAGAGACAUGUGCUGUAUUUCCAACGACUGAUGCAGAGGAUUUACCUGAAUAGUUCAAGAGACCUGUGCUGUAUUUCUAACGACUGAUGCAGAGGAUGUACCUGAAAAGUUCAAGAGACAUGUGCCGUAUUUCUAACGACUGGUGCAGAGGAUGUACCUGAAGAGUUCAAGAGACAUGUGCUGUAUUUCUAACGACUGGUGCAGAGGAUGUACCUGAAGAGUUCAAGAGACAUGUGCCGUAUUUCCAACGACUGGUGCAGAGGAUGUACCUGAAGAGUUCAAGAGACAUGUGCCGUAUUUCCAACGACUGAUGCAGAGGAUGUACCUGAAGAGUUCAAGAGACAUGUGCUGUAUUUCCAACGACUGAUGCAGAGGAUGUACCUGAAGAGUUCAAGAGACAUGUGCUGUAUUUCCAACGACUGGUGCAGAGGAUGUACCUGAAGAGUUCAAGAGACAUGUGCCGUAUUUCCAACGACUGAUGCAGAGGAUGUACCUGAAUAGUUCAAGAGACCUGUGCUGUAUUUCUAACGACUGAUGCAGAGGAUGUACCUGAAGAGUUCAAGAGACAUGUGCCGUAUUUCUAACGACUGGUGCAGAGGAUGUACCUGAAGAGUUCAAGAGACCUGUGCUGUAUUUUUAACGACUGGUGCAGAGGAUGUACCUGAAGAGUUCAAGAGACAUGUGCUGUAUUUCCAACGACUGAUGCAGAGGAUGUACCUGAAGAGUUCAAGAGACAUGUGCUGUAUUUCCAACGACUGAUGCAGAGGAUGUACCUGAAGAGUUCAAGAGACAUGUGCUGUAUUUCCAACGACUGAUGCAGAGGAUGUACCUGAAGAGUUCAAGAGACAUGUGCCGUAUUUCUAACGACUGAUGCAGAGGAUGUACCUGAAGAGUUCAAGAGACAUGUGCUGUAUUUCCAACGACUGAUGCAGAGGAUGUACCUGAAGAGUUCAAGAGACAUGUGCCGUAUUUCUAACGACUGAUGCAGAGGAUGUACCUGAAGAGUUCAAGAGACAUGUGCCGUAUUUCCAACGACUGAUGCAGAGGAUGUACCUGAAGAGUUCAAGAGACAUGUGCUGUAUUUCCAACGACUGAUGCAGAGGAUGUACCUGAAGAGUUCAAGAGACAUGUGCUGUAUUUCCAACGACUGAUGCAGAGGAUGUACCUAAAUAGUUCAAGAGACAUGUGCUGUAUUUCUAACGACUGAUGCAGAGGAUGUACCUGAAGAGUUCAAGAGACAUGUGCCGUAUUUCUAACGACUGGUGCAGAGGAUGUACCUGAAGAGUUCAAGAGACCUGUGCUGUAUUUCUAACGACUGAUGCAGAGGAUGUACCUGAAGAGUUCAAGAGACAUGUGCCGUAUUUCCAACGACUGAUGCAGAGGAUGUACCUGAAGAGUUCAAGAGACAUGUGCUGUAUUUCCAACGACUGAUGCAGAGGAUGUACCUAAAGAGUUCAAGAGACAUGUGCCGUAUUUCUAACGACUGGUGCA